RNAcentral lists this ribosomal RNA (254 nucleotides) under uncultured bacterium. RNAcentral describes it as "partial 16S ribosomal RNA". It matches the Rfam family "Bacterial small subunit ribosomal RNA", at positions 524 to 776 of the family's 1533-position model. The record is from RNAcentral.
UACAGAGGGUGCGAACGUUGCUCGGAAUUACUGGGCGUAAAGGGCGCGUAGGCGGUCAGCACAAGUCAGUUGUGAAAUCUCCGAGCUUAACUCGGAAAGGUCAACUGAUACUGUGCGACUAGAGUGCAGAAGGGGCAACUGGAAUUCUCGGUGUAGCGGUGAAAUGCGUAGAUAUCGAGAGGAACACCUGCGGCGAAGGCGGGUUGCUGGGCUGACACUGACGCUGAGGCGCGAAAGCUAGGGGAGCGAACGGG